Small nucleolar RNA from Brassica oleracea var. oleracea, 94 nucleotides. It matches the Rfam family "Small nucleolar RNA snR60/Z15/Z230/Z193/J17". Rfam says of the family: The members of this family belong to the C/D class of snoRNAs which contain the C (UGAUGA) and D (CUGA) box motifs. Most of the members of the box C/D family function in directing site-specific 2'-O-methylation of substrate RNAs. The record is from Rfam. NCBI's taxonomy places the organism in Eukaryota, Viridiplantae, Streptophyta, Magnoliopsida, Brassicales, Brassicaceae.
AAGGGUCAAGUGAGGAUUGAAAACGCAUAGUUCAGAUGAACUUACAUGAUUACAUCUAUUCAGCAUAGUCUUUCGCUCCUAUCUGAUGACCCUU